RNAcentral lists this unclassified non-coding RNA (1663 nucleotides) under Dermacentor andersoni. RNAcentral's name for it is "gastrula zinc finger protein XlCGF8.2DB-like". Lineage: Eukaryota; Metazoa; Arthropoda; Arachnida; Ixodida; Ixodidae. The record is from RNAcentral.
ACCCACACACGCGAGAGGCCAUUUCAGUGCCCUUCGUGUCCUCGAAGCUUCUCACAAAAGAAUCAUCUGAACCGGCACUUGCGCACCCACACAGGCGAGAGGCCGUUUCAGUGCGCUUUGUGUCCUCUAAGCUUCUCACGAAAGGAUACUCUGAACUCGCAUCUGCGCACCCACACAGGCGAGAAGCCAUUGCAGUGCCCUUCAUGCCCUCAGAGCUUCUCUCAAAAGCGUACUCUGAACCACCACUUGCGCACCCACACAGGCGAGAAUCCAUUUCAAUGCCCUUCGUGCCUUCAGAGCUUCUCACAGAAGAGUGAUCUGAACCAGCACCUGCACACCCACACAGGCGAGAGGCCGUUUCAGUGCGCUUUGUGUCCUCUAAGCUUCUCACGAAAGGAUACUCUGAACCACCACCUGCGCACCCACACAGGCGAGAAGCCAUUUCAAUGCCCGUCAUGCCUUCGGAGCUUCUCAAAAAAGAUUAAUCUGAACCAGCACCUGCGCACCCACACAGGCGAGAGGCCAUUUCAGUGCCCUUUGUGUCCUAUAAGCUUCUCGCGAAAGGAUACUCUGAACUCGCAUCUGCGCACGCACACAGGCGAGAAGCCAUUUCAAUGCCCUUCGUGCCCUCAGAGAUUCUCGUAUAAGCAUGUUCUGAACCGACACCUGCACACCCACACAGGAGAAGCCAUUUCAGUGCCCUUUAUGCCCCCAAAGCUUCUCAGAAAAGGCGAUAUGGAAGGUUCACCUGGACUUCCACUAAUGUGAGAGGCUGUUUAAGGGCCAUUCAUGUCCUGAGAACUUCCUGUGGAAGUUUGUAUUAAACCAAAAGCCUCACAUUCAUACAGGCGGGCAGCCAUUUCAGUGCCCUGCAUGCCCUCAGCAAUCCUCAAAAGUCCUUACUGAAGGAUCACGUGUGCAUCCACUCAGCGAGAGGCCAUGUCAGUGCUCUUCACGUACUCGGAGGUACUCAGAAGUUUGCACUGAACUUCACUUCCACUAAUGUGAGAGGCUGAUUCAGGGCCCUUCAUGUCCUGAGAACUUGUCAUGGAAGUCUGCACUGAACCGACACCUGCUCGUCCACACAAAGUCCGUGGUGAAGGAUCACCUGUGUAUCCACUCAGGGAGAUGCCAUGUCAGGGCUCUUCAUGUCCUCAGAGUUACUUGCAGAAGUUCGCACUGAACUGACACAUGCACAACCCACAUAAGCGAGAGGUCGUUUCAGUGCCACUUAAGCUGUCAAACCGUCGGACACCAAAGCCACCUCAAUAGGCACCUUGCCACCACAAGUGCACCUGACACAUGUGGUGCAGCAGUGCUGAGUUGUGUGCACUCCUCAUUGUUCCUUCUUGCUUUUCAUGUUUUCCUUAGUUUUUUCAUGGAAUCUCAGUGUAUGUGACGCCUGUAGUUCUAUACUAGCAUGAAUCAUUGUAAGUCUUCACUUUUCAUUAUUAUGAUGUUUAAGCUCUUUGUCUUGCAGAGCACUUCUUUCUGCAUUCAAGCGUUUAACUGCUCUUUACUAAAGAGUUGUGCGAGUUUGUUUCAGUGCACUAAAUAAAAUUUGGGAUUGGGUUUUGCUAAUUAUUGGUGUUUCAAUACUUGCACUAAUAUCACGUAAUGUUUCAAUUCAUUCGCAUUUAUUGUGCUGAACAGUUCAAGAUAA